Cucurbita pepo subsp. pepo (vegetable marrow) is the source of this 103-nucleotide non-coding RNA. The record is from RefSeq and is a predicted model, not a curated record. NCBI's taxonomy places the organism in Eukaryota, Viridiplantae, Streptophyta, Magnoliopsida, Cucurbitales, Cucurbitaceae.
UUGCAACAAAUAAAGGUGGAGGGCACACGCCGGAAUUCAUGGCAUACGAAAGCGACGUAAUGUUUGGGAGAUGGAUAGCGGGAGAAUCUUUAUAAAAUAGAUA